Molecule: ribosomal RNA, 433 nt
Filed under: uncultured bacterium
Lineage: Bacteria
Description: partial 16S ribosomal RNA
Rfam family: Bacterial small subunit ribosomal RNA
Source: RNAcentral
AACGAACGCUGGCGGCAUGCCUAACACAUGCAAGUCGAACGAGACCUUCGGGCCUAGUGGCGCACGGGUGCGUAACGCGUGGGAACCUGCCCUUAGGUUCGGAAUAACUCCCCGAAAGGGGUGCUAAUACCGGAUAAUGUCUUCGGACCAAAGAUUUAUCGCCUUUGGAUGGGCCCGCGUUGGAUUAGCUAGUUGGUAGGGUAAAAGCCUACCAAGGCGACGAUCCAUAGCUGGUCUGAGAGGAUGAUCAGCCACACUGGGACUGAGACACGGCCCAGACUCCUACGGGAGGCAGCAGUGGGGAAUAUUGGACGAGGGGCGAAAGCCUGAUCCAGCAAUGCCGCGUGAGUGAUGAAGGCCGUAGGGUUGUAAAGCUCUUUUACCCGGGAUGAUAAUGACAGUACCGGGAGAAUAAGCACCGGCUAACUCCGUG